AUUGAACGCUGGCGGCAUGCUUUACACAUGCAAGUCGAACGGCAGCGCGGGCUUCGGCCUGGCGGCGAGUGGCGAACGGGUGAGUAAUGCAUCGGAACGUGCCCAGUAGUGGGGGAUAGCCCAGCGAAAGCCGGAUUAAUACCGCAUACGACCUGAGGGUGAAAGCGGGGGACCGAAAGGCCUCGCGCUAUUGGAGCGGCCGAUGUCGGAUUAGCUAGUUGGUGGGGUAAAGGCUUACCAAGGCGACGAUCCGUAGCUGGUCUGAGAGGACGACCAGCCACACUGGGACAGAGACGCGGCCCAGACUCCUACGGGAGGCAGCAGUGGGGAAUUUUGGACAAGGGGGGCAACCCUGAUCCAGCCAUGCCGCGUGCGGGAAGAAGGCCGUCGGGUUGUAAACCGCUUUUGGUCGGGAAGAAAUCCUCUGGGCUAAUACCCCGGGGGGAUGACGGUACCGGAAGAAUAAGCACCGGCUAACUACG
Molecule: ribosomal RNA, 482 nt
Filed under: uncultured bacterium
Lineage: Bacteria
Description: partial 16S ribosomal RNA
Rfam family: Bacterial small subunit ribosomal RNA
Source: RNAcentral